CAUGCAAGUCGAACGAGGAUGUAUCCUUCGGGAUAUAAGCCGAGUGGCAUAAGGGUGAGCAAUGCAUAGAUUACCUACCUUUAGGAUAAGGACAACUUUGUGAAAACGGAGCUAAUACUUAAUAAUACAAAGGAAAAUAAUUUUCUUUUGUCAAAGGGAGGGUAGCAAUACCUUUCGCCUAGAGAGGGGUUUAUGUCCUAUCAGCUUGUUGGUGGGGUAAUAGCCUACCAAGGCGAAGACGGGUAGCCGGUUUAAGAGGAUGGUCGGCCACACUGGGACUGAGACACUGCCCAGACUUCUACGGAAGGCUGCAGUCGAGAAUCUUUCGCAAUGCCCGAAAGGGUGACGAAGCGACGCCGCGUGGGUGAAGAAGGCCUUCGGGUUGUAAAACCCUGUCAGGAGUUAUGAAAUGUAAGUGCGCUAAUAUCGUGCUUAUUUGACAAAGGCUCCAAAGGAAGCCACGGCUAACUCUGUGCCAGCAGCCGCGGUAAUACAGAGGUGGCGAGCGUUGUUCGGAAUUAUUGGGCGUAAAGAGCACGUAGGUGGGUUUGCAAGUCAGAUGUGAAAGCCUUCUGUUCAACGGGAGAAUUGCAUCUGAAACUGCUAAUCUUGAGUGUAGGAGGGGAGAAUGGAACUUCUGGUGGAGCGGUGAAAUGCGUAGAUAUCAGAAGGAACGCCGGCGGCGAAAGCGAUUCUCUGGCCUAUUACUGACACUCAGUGUGCGAAAGCUAGGGGAGCAAACGGGAUUAGAUACCCCGGUAGUCCUAGCCGUAAACGAUGGGCACUAAGUAGAGGGGAUUACCUAUGUUCUCUCUGCCGUAGCUAACGCAUUAAGUGCCCCGCCUGGGGAGUACGGCCGCAAGGCUAAAACUCAAAAGAAUUGACGGGGGCUCGCACAAGCGGUGGAGCAUGUGGCUUAAUUCGAUGCAACGCGAAAAACCUUACCGGGGCUUGACAUGAUAGAAGUAGGAACCUGAAAGGGGGACGAACGGUAUCCAGUCCGUAGCUAUUACAGGUGUUGCAUGGCUGUCGUCAGCUCGUGUCGUGAGACGUUGGGUUAAGUCCCCUAACGAGCGAAACCCUUGUUUUUAGUUACCAGCGGGUUAUGCCGGGUACUCUAGAAAGACUGCCGUCGUCAAGACGGAGGAAGGUGGGGAUGACGUCAAGUCAUCAUGGCCCUUAUGCCCCGGGCUGCACACGUGCUACAAUGGACGGUACAGACGGAAGCGAAGCCGAGAGGUGAAGCGAAUCCUAAAAAGCCGAUCUCAGUUCGGAUUGGAGGCUGAAAUUCGCCUCCAUGAAGUUGGAAUCGCUAGUAAUCGCGGAUCAGCAAUGUCGCGGUGAAUAUGUUCCCGAGCCUUGUACACACCGCCCGUCAAGCCACCCAAGCAGGAUGCACCCGAAAACAUUAUAUCUAACCAGGGCAACUUGGAGGAAAAUGUUGAAGGAGUGUUUUGUGAGGAGGACUAAGUCGUAACAAGGUAGUCGUAGGAGAACCUGCGGCUGGAUCACCUCCUUUCU
Molecule: ribosomal RNA, 1521 nt
Filed under: uncultured Planctomycetales bacterium
Lineage: Bacteria; Pseudomonadati; Planctomycetota; Planctomycetia; Planctomycetales
Description: 16S ribosomal RNA
Rfam family: Bacterial small subunit ribosomal RNA
Source: RNAcentral